Molecule: ribosomal RNA, 482 nt
Filed under: uncultured bacterium
Lineage: Bacteria
Description: SSU rRNA
Rfam family: Bacterial small subunit ribosomal RNA
Source: RNAcentral
AGAACGAACGCUGGCGGCAUGCCUAACACAUGCAAGUCGAACGCUUCCGGGGCUUCGGUCGCGGAGGAGUGGCGCACGGGUGAGUAGCGCGUGGGAACCUGCCCUGUUGUGGGGGAUAACCGAGGGAAACUUCGGCUAAUACCGCAUACGCCCCGGGACUUGGUCUUCGGAUUAGGUCUGGGGGGAAAGAUUGAUCGCAGCAGGAGGGGCCCGCGUCGGAUUAGCUGGUUGGUGGGGUAACGGCUCACCAAGGCGAUGAUCCGUAGCUGGUCUGAGAGGAUGAUCAGCCACACUGGGACUGAGACACGGCCCAGACUCCUACGGGAGGCAGCAGUGGGGAAUAUUGGACAAUGGGGGCAACCCUGAUCCAGCAAUGCCGCGUGAGUGAUGAAGGCCUUAGGGUUGUAAAGCUCUUUCGCCCGCGACGAUGAUGACGGUAGCGGGAGAAGAGCCCCGGCUAACUUCGUGCCAGCAGCCGCGGU